ACAUUUCUAAUGUGUGUGAUUCACUAUUCACAAAUCACGUACGUGAAGCUGCUUAUCUGUUCUGUUAUUAUCCACAAGUUCAGGACGGGGGGCUUCAAAAAGAAAAAAAAAAGUUCAGGACGGCUACUGCUAAUCUCAACUCAACCUUCACCACAUCAGAUCUCUGUCCUCACCACAUCAGCUAUCUGAUCCAGGUAGUAACAAACUUGUUGGGACAAGACUCCUACUCAUCACUGUUGGGCUUUCUUUUCUUCUGUUGAUCCAGAGUAGUAGUAGUAGUACUGUUCUUGGGAGUUCCGUUCUGAUCAGACUUCUCAUUUGAAGUUUCAGACUCGGCACUGUCAGGCUUCUUCUCGAGCACUGCAAAGCUUUUUGUAGUGGCAUUAUCCAACAGAAGGUGAUCAGAGUG
RNAcentral lists this long non-coding RNA (409 nucleotides) under Oryza brachyantha (malo sina). RNAcentral describes it as "long non-coding RNA (OBRA_LNC002518)". The record is from RNAcentral. Lineage: Eukaryota; Viridiplantae; Streptophyta; Magnoliopsida; Poales; Poaceae.